CCUACGGGAGGCAGCAGUGAGGAAUAUUGGUCAAUGGGCGGGAGCCUGAACCAGCCAAGUCGCGUGAGGGAAGACGGUCCUAUGGAUUGUAAACCUCUUUAGGCGGGGAGCAAUGCCGGGCACGUGUGCCCGGAGGGAGAGUACCCGCAGAAUAAGCAUCGGCUAACUCCGUGCCAGCAGCCGCGGUAAUCCGGGGGAUGCGAGCUUUAUCCGGAUUUAUUGGGUUUAAAGGGUGAGUGGGGGGAUUUUUAAGUCAGCGGUAAAAUGUACGGGGUAACCCCGGGCCGGCCGUUGAAACUGGGGAGCUAGAGUGGGCGAGAAGUAGGCGGAAUGCGUGGUGUAGCGGUGAAAUGCAUAGAUAUCACGCAGAACUCCGAUUGCGAAGGCAGCAUACCGGCGCCCGACUGACGCUGAGGCACGAAAGCGUGGGGAUCGAACAGGAUUAGAUACCCUAGUAGUC
RNAcentral lists this ribosomal RNA (460 nucleotides) under uncultured bacterium. Its description in RNAcentral is "partial 16S ribosomal RNA". It matches the Rfam family "Bacterial small subunit ribosomal RNA", at positions 338 to 795 of the family's 1533-position model. The record is from RNAcentral.